RNAcentral lists this ribosomal RNA (471 nucleotides) under uncultured bacterium. Its description in RNAcentral is "bacterial SSU rRNA". It matches the Rfam family "Bacterial small subunit ribosomal RNA", at positions 335 to 799 of the family's 1533-position model. The record is from RNAcentral.
ACUCCUACGGGAGGCAGCAGUGGGGAAUAUUGCACAAUGGGCGCAAGCCUGAUGCAGCCAUGCCGCGUGUGUGAAGAAGGCCUUCGGGUUGUAAAGCACUUUCAGUUGUGAGGAAGGUGGUGUCGUUAAUAGCGGCAUCAUUUGACGUUAGCAACAGAAGAAGCACCGGCUAACUCCGUGCCAGCAACCGCGGUAAUACGGAGGGUGCGAGCGUUAAUCGGAAUUACUGGGCGUAAAGCGCAUGCAGGUGGUUUGUUAAGUCAGAUGUGAAAGCCCGGGGCUCAACCUCGGAACUGCAUUUGAAACUGGCAGCUAGAGUACUGUAGAGGGGGGUAGAAUUUCAGGUGUAGCGGUGAAAUGCGUAGAGAUCUGAAGGAAUACCGGUGGCGAAGCGGCCCCCUGGACAGAUACUGACACUCAGAUGCGAAAGCGUGGGGAGCAAACAGGAUUAGAUACCCUGGGAGCACAGAG